AUUCCGCUGAUGAGUCCCAAAUAGGACGAAAUGUGCAUCCUGGAU
RNAcentral lists this non-coding RNA (45 nucleotides) under Trichobilharzia regenti. The record is from RNAcentral. Lineage: Eukaryota; Metazoa; Platyhelminthes; Trematoda; Strigeidida; Schistosomatidae.